GCAAACUUUGUGUGGGCACGUGUUGGUCAAGGACAGGCAUGUCCAAAGUCCGGCCCGCGGGCCAAAUCCGGCCCGCGGUCGAAUUUCAUCCGGCCCUCGGCCCCCGUCAUAAAGUCAGUGCCGUCUGGCCCGCAGGUUGGGCGCAAUGGAACACGUGUUGCAUUGACUGAGGUCUCGUCGACUGGUGAGUGAUGUUUCAUAGAGUACUGCUUCCCUCUAGUGGCUAAAUGAGUAAUAGCAUUCACUAAAUGAGUAAUAGCAUUUAGACACUAGAGGGCAUCACUCACGAGUUAACAAGACAUCACUCCGUGUUUAUAUUGACUGUUAUGUCAUAUUUCAAAUUCCUGUUUCAAAUGAACCAAAAGAAAUUCUUAAGAUUGUUGAAAUUAAAAUAAAAAUGGAAAUGUGAAACAGACUGGCUUACUAAAAUUUGUUGAACAAUAUUGUUGUUCAAUGUAAAGAAUGUCAGCCAAGGUCGGCCCCCCGAACAUUUUACCACAUAAAAUCUGGCCCCCUUGGCAAAAAGUUUGGACACCCCUGGCUUAAGUCAACUCGGACCGCCUUGCCCUGUCGAUCUUCACUUGUGUCACUCGCCGUCCUGACGCCUCCUCAAUGGCAUUUUUUUUUGUCCGUUACUUUAUUAUAAAUUAUAUAUAGUAUCGCAAGUGCUUUCCUGCUCUCUCUUAUAUGACGUCUUCCCGAUUAGCUUCUUAUUUCUGUCGUCGCCGCGUUUAAGUUUGACGUGCACCAUUUUGGAAACCUGCUUCGGGACGACGGAUGAAAACGCAUUUCUACUCUUUGUUCUCGCCUUGAUUCAUGCGUACUGUCUCAAAUGAAAUAAAGUCCCAUGAAUACAAA
Hippocampus zosterae (dwarf seahorse) is the source of this 858-nucleotide long non-coding RNA. RefSeq lists it as uncharacterized. The record is from RefSeq and is a predicted model, not a curated record. NCBI's taxonomy places the organism in Eukaryota, Metazoa, Chordata, Actinopteri, Syngnathiformes, Syngnathidae. The transcript is spliced from 2 exons.